UAACCUGGGUGUGCACACCAGGGGGUGGGGAAACUUCCCAUUCUAUUAAUGCGUUUAGGUUAUUUAGACCAAUGUCUCAUUAAUUUUAAAAAAAUUAAAAAUAGGCCAGGCGCAAUGGCUCACGCCUGUAAUCCCAACUUUAGGAGGUGAAAGGAUCACUUGAGGCCAGGAGUUAAAGACGAACGUGGGCAACACAGUGAGAUCCCAUCUCUACAAAAAGUAAAAUACAUUUACAAUAAAAAUCUACAAGUUCUGACCCAUAGGAGAGUGGAAAACUCAAAGGCUGCUUUUGUCCUGAAAGAAUUUGCCUAUUCUAAUAAAACAGCUGAGGUUGAAACGGCUCAGCCUCUGAAAGGGGUCUGACCCUUCCUUGAGCCCUUGCCUCCAGUGACAAUCUCCCAAGCUAAGGGAGAAAAGGAACCAAAAGUCUGCACUCCUCUCUACCUCUAGCAGUGCAGGGAGCGAAGGAAAGACAAGGGAAGAAACCCUUCAGAUUUUCAGAUCAAAUUCACAUCACUGGCCAUCCAAGAAAUCUUAAGCUCUGCGUUUAUCGUCAACCAUUUCUGCAUGAGGGAAGCAAACAGUCCUUGCUGAAGGAAGGUGCCUGCAUCCUGGGCCUCGGAACCCACUGAAAUAAUUUAGCGAAGUGCAUAAUAAAAAUAAUAUUUGCCCUUA
This 675-nucleotide long non-coding RNA is filed under the name Homo sapiens (human). Its description in RNAcentral is "non-protein coding lnc-UBE2S-1:1". Lineage: Eukaryota; Metazoa; Chordata; Mammalia; Primates; Hominidae. The record is from RNAcentral.